UCCGNGUGANGGAUGCGACCCUUCGGUUGGCAGCCUCUUUUAGCAGGGAAGANUCCAAAGUGACGAAUCCCCCAGAAAAAGCGCCGCAUCACUCCGUGCCAGCAGCCGCGGUAAUACGUAGGCGCAAGCGUUAUCCGUAAAUUAUUGGGUAGUAAAGAUCUCGUAGUCGGUUUGUAAAUUCUGNUGUGAAACCCCGAGCCUCNACUUCGACCGUGCAGUGAGUACUGCCAUACUAGAGUGUGGUANNNGAGAUUGAAAUUCCUGAUGUACCGAUGUAAUGCGCAGAUAUCAGGAGGAACGCCGAUGUCGAAGCCAGAUCUCUGGCCAGUAACUGACACUGAGGAGCGAAAGCGGUGGGGAGCAACCAGGAUUAGAUACCCUGGUAGUCCACCCCGUAAACGUUGGGAUCCUAUUUGUGGGGUCCAUUCCUCGAAUUCCGUCACGCAGUUAACGCAUUAAGUUCUCCGCCUGGGGAGUUCGACCGCAAGGCUAAAACUCAAAGGAAUUGCCGGGGGCCCGCCCAAGCGGUGGAUCAUAUGGAUUAAUUCGAUCCAACGCGAAGAUCCUUACCAAGACUUGACAUAUACGAGANCGGCCAGAAAUGCUCAUCUA
RNAcentral lists this ribosomal RNA (612 nucleotides) under bacterium RO_isolate_18. RNAcentral describes it as "bacterial SSU rRNA". It matches the Rfam family "Bacterial small subunit ribosomal RNA", at positions 396 to 1016 of the family's 1533-position model. The record is from RNAcentral.